RNAcentral lists this ribosomal RNA (2773 nucleotides) under human gut metagenome. Its description in RNAcentral is "bacterial LSU rRNA". It matches the Rfam family "Bacterial large subunit ribosomal RNA". The record is from RNAcentral.
AGCGUACACGGUGGAUGCCCUGGCAGUCAGAGGCGAUGAAGGACGUGCUAAUCUGCGAUAAGCGUCGGUAAGGUGAUAUGAACCGUUAUAACCGGCGAUUUCCGAAUGGGGAAACCCAGUGUGUUUCGACACACUAUCAUUAACUGAAUCCAUAGGUUAAUGAGGCGAACCGGGGGAACUGAAACAUCUAAGUACCCCGAGGAAAAGAAAUCAACCGAGAUUCCCCCAGUAGCGGCGAGCGAACGGGGAGGAGCCCAGAGCCUGAAUCAGUGUGUGUGUUAGUGGAAGCGUCUGGAAAGGCGCGCGAUACAGGGUGACAGCCCCGUACACAAAAAUGCACAUGCUGUGAGCUCGAUGAGUAGGGCGGGACACGUGGUAUCCUGUCUGAAUAUGGGGGGACCAUCCUCCAAGGCUAAAUACUCCUGACUGACCGAUAGUGAACCAGUACCGUGAGGGAAAGGCGAAAAGAACCCCGGCGAGGGGAGUGAAAAAGAACCUGAAACCGUGUACGUACAAGCAGUGGGAGCCUCUUUAUGGGGUGACUGCGUACCUUUUGUAUAAUGGGUCAGCGACUUAUAUUCUGUAGCAAGGUUAACCGAAUAGGGGAGCCGAAGGGAAACCGAGUCUUAACUGGGCGUUAAGUUGCAGGGUAUAGACCCGAAACCCGGUGAUCUAGCCAUGGGCAGGUUGAAGGUUGGGUAACACUAACUGGAGGACCGAACCGACUAAUGUUGAAAAAUUAGCGGAUGACUUGUGGCUGGGGGUGAAAGGCCAAUCAAACCGGGAGAUAGCUGGUUCUCCCCGAAAGCUAUUUAGGUAGCGCCUCGUGAAUUCAUCUCCGGGGGUAGAGCACUGUUUCGGCAAGGGGGUCAUCCCGACUUACCAACCCGAUGCAAACUGCGAAUACCGGAGAAUGUUAUCACGGGAGACACACGGCGGGUGCUAACGUCCGUCGUGAAGAGGGAAACAACCCAGACCGCCAGCUAAGGUCCCAAAGUCAUGGUUAAGUGGGAAACGAUGUGGGAAGGCCCAGACAGCCAGGAUGUUGGCUUAGAAGCAGCCAUCAUUUAAAGAAAGCGUAAUAGCUCACUGGUCGAGUCGGCCUGCGCGGAAGAUGUAACGGGGCUAAACCAUGCACCGAAGCUGCGGCAGCGACACUAUGUGUUGUUGGGUAGGGGAGCGUUCUGUAAGCCUGUGAAGGUGUACUGUGAGGUAUGCUGGAGGUAUCAGAAGUGCGAAUGCUGACAUAAGUAACGAUAAAGCGGGUGAAAAGCCCGCUCGCCGGAAGACCAAGGGUUCCUGUCCAACGUUAAUCGGGGCAGGGUGAGUCGACCCCUAAGGCGAGGCCGAAAGGCGUAGUCGAUGGGAAACAGGUUAAUAUUCCUGUACUUGGUGUUACUGCGAAGGGGGGACGGAGAAGGCUAUGUUGGCCGGGCGACGGUUGUCCCGGUUUAAGCGUGUAGGCUGGUUUUCCAGGCAAAUCCGGAAAAUCAAGGCUGAGGCGUGAUGACGAGGCACUACGGUGCUGAAGCAACAAAUGCCCUGCUUCCAGGAAAAGCCUCUAAGCAUCAGGUAACAUCAAAUCGUACCCCAAACCGACACAGGUGGUCAGGUAGAGAAUACCAAGGCGCUUGAGAGAACUCGGGUGAAGGAACUAGGCAAAAUGGUGCCGUAACUUCGGGAGAAGGCACGCUGAUAUGUAGGUGAAGCGACUUGCUCGUGGAGCUGAAAUCAGUCGAAGAUACCAGCUGGCUGCAACUGUUUAUUAAAAACACAGCACUGUGCAAACACGAAAGUGGACGUAUACGGUGUGACGCCUGCCCGGUGCCGGAAGGUUAAUUGAUGGGGUUAGCGGUAACGCGAAGCUCUUGAUCGAAGCCCCGGUAAACGGCGGCCGUAACUAUAACGGUCCUAAGGUAGCGAAAUUCCUUGUCGGGUAAGUUCCGACCUGCACGAAUGGCGUAAUGAUGGCCAGGCUGUCUCCACCCGAGACUCAGUGAAAUUGAACUCGCUGUGAAGAUGCAGUGUACCCGCGGCAAGACGGAAAGACCCCGUGAACCUUUACUAUAGCUUGACACUGAACAUUGAGCCUUGAUGUGUAGGAUAGGUGGGAGGCUUUGAAGUGUGGACGCCAGUCUGCAUGGAGCCGGCCUUGAAAUACCACCCUUUAAUGUUUGAUGUUCUAACGUUGGCCCCUGAUCGGGGUUGCGGACAGUGUCUGGUGGGUAGUUUGACUGGGGCGGUCUCCUCCUAAAGAGUAACGGAGGAGCACGAAGGUUGGCUAAUCCUGGUCGGACAUCAGGAGGUUAGUGCAAUGGCAUAAGCCAGCUUGACUGCGAGCGUGACGGCGCGAGCAGGUGCGAAAGCAGGUCAUAGUGAUCCGGUGGUUCUGAAUGGAAGGGCCAUCGCUCAACGGAUAAAAGGUACUCCGGGGAUAACAGGCUGAUACCGCCCAAGAGUUCAUAUCGACGGCGGUGUUUGGCACCUCGAUGUCGGCUCAUCACAUCCUGGGGCUGAAGUAGGUCCCAAGGGUAUGGCUGUUCGCCAUUUAAAGUGGUACGCGAGCUGGGUUUAGAACGUCGUGAGACAGUUCGGUCCCUAUCUGCCGUGGGCGCUGGAGAACUGAGGGGGGCUGCUCCUAGUACGAGAGGACCGGAGUGGACGCAUCACUGGUGUUCGGGUUGUCAUGCCAAUGGCACUGCCCGGUAGCUAAAUGCGGAAGAGAUAAGUGCUGAAAGCAUCUAAGCACGAAACUUGCCCCGAGAUGAGUUCU